AGACACAAGGAAAUUAUAAAACUGGAGACCAGACUGGAAGAUUUCUUGCCACAGUGACACUUCAACUGCACACAGAAGGCUUGAGUGAGCUACUGAGAAGACAGAGAUGAUAAAAAGUAUCUAGCAAGAAGUUGCUAGCUUAUCUCUGCAGGCAAGAUAUUUCUGAAAGGGAGACAGGAGAUUUCUGCCUUCAACCAUUCAUCUGUGUCCAACUCCCAGACUGAAAGGAGCUGUGUAAUGAAUGCAAAGAAGCUCCCUUGUACCAGCUUUGGGGCACACUGCCCGGAUGGAAAUGAGGUGGUGGUGGCUCCUGGGAUUCAGAAUUUCCAUGCUGGUCUUUUCCUCAGUGGCCCAACCAUCCCCAGCCAGGUGUGGAAGGGGACAUCAGAGAAGGCCCAUCCCACCUGCAAAAUCCAGAGGUGAAACAUACUUUGGACCACGAGAAGAAAGAAUUUUAAAACUUCAAACUUAAGCUUAGAUCUGCUCAGGAUUUUACAGCUCCAUCAGGAUUUUACAGCUCCAUGAAAGCGUGCUUGUGUGACUGCCAAAAUCCUUCACCGUGAAAAAUACGCCUUGUGAUUUCUUCACCAAACUGGAAGCACAGCACACACAGGUGCUAUACAGCUGUUCAUGAUGGAUCUCUUGCUUGCUGACUUGAUUUCCACUGGUGUUAACUCAACACAACACUGUAAACUUCUCUGGAUGAUUAGAAAACAUUCCUCUGAAGUAUGUGAACAAACAUGAGCUACAAGCGCUGUGCUGGAGAUUAUUUUAUAAAUGUAACGUCUCUGCAGUGGGACAAUAUAACUCUGCUAUUUUUUCUUCUGAGAGCUGCCUGGAUUUUAACAGUUAGUUGCAAUCAUAUUAAACAUCUCCCUGCCAUUUUUUUUUAGCAGGAAGCAUGAUUCUUUUCUCUUGGAAGGAGCUAGACCAAUUUGUGUGCUCUAUCAUCCAUAAGUAACUGUAAGAACUGAUCUGAAUUCAGUGUUUAUUUUCAGGUAGUGCAGUGUGGUAAUCUGAGAGAAUAAACUCAUUGCAAGCCUUCCA
This 1047-nucleotide long non-coding RNA is filed under the name Cyanistes caeruleus (blue tit). RNAcentral describes it as "lncRNA (ENSCCEG00000012736.1)". The record is from RNAcentral. Lineage: Eukaryota; Metazoa; Chordata; Aves; Passeriformes; Paridae.